This 179-nucleotide ribosomal RNA is filed under the name uncultured bacterium. RNAcentral describes it as "partial 16S ribosomal RNA". It matches the Rfam family "Bacterial small subunit ribosomal RNA", at positions 1314 to 1500 of the family's 1533-position model. The record is from RNAcentral.
GACUCCACGAAGUUGGAUUCGCUAGUAAUCGCGCAUCAGCCAUGGCGCGGUGAAUACGUUCCCGGGCCUUGUACACACCGCCCGUCAAGCCAUGGGAGCCGGGGGCGCCUGAAGUCCGGGACCGCGAGGACCGGCCUAGGGCGAAACUGGUAACUGGGGCUAAGUCGUAACAAGGUAUC